AUUGAACGCUGGCGGCAUGCCUUACACAUGCAAGUCGAACGGCAGCACGGGAGCAAUCCUGGUGGCGAGUGGCGAACGGGUGAGUAAAGUAUCGGAACGUGCCCAGUCGUGGGGGAUAACGUAGCGAAAGUUACGCUAAUACCGCAUACGAUCUAUGGAUGAAAGCGGGGGAUCGCAAGACCUCGCGCGAUUGGAGCGGCCGAUAUCAGAUUAGGUAGUUGGUGGGGUAAAGGCUCACCAAGCCGACGAUCUGUAGCUGGUCUGAGAGGACGACCAGCCAAACUGGGACUGAGACACGGCCCAGACUCCUACGGGAGGCAGCAGUGGGGAAUUUUGGACAAUGGGCGAAAGCCUGAUCCAGCCAUGCCGCGUGCAGGAUGAAGGCCUUCGGGUUGUAAACUGCUUUUGUACGGAACGAAAAGGUUUGGCCUAAUAAGCUGAGCUCAUGACGGUACCGUAAGAAUAAGCACCGGCUAACUACGUGCCAGCCGCCGCUGUAA
This 500-nucleotide ribosomal RNA is filed under the name uncultured bacterium. RNAcentral's name for it is "partial 16S ribosomal RNA". It matches the Rfam family "Bacterial small subunit ribosomal RNA", at positions 30 to 523 of the family's 1533-position model. The record is from RNAcentral.